Molecule: ribosomal RNA, 227 nt
Filed under: uncultured bacterium
Lineage: Bacteria
Description: partial 16S ribosomal RNA
Rfam family: Bacterial small subunit ribosomal RNA
Source: RNAcentral
CUGAACCAGCCAAGUAGCGUGAAGGAUGACUGCCCUAUGGGUUGUAGACUUCUUUUAUAAAGGAAUAAAGUCGGGCAUGCAUACCCGUUUGCAUGUACUUUACGAAUAAGGAUCGGCUAACUCCGUGCCAGCAGCCGGGGUAAUACGGAGGAUCCGAGCGUUAUCCGGAUUUAUUGGGUUUAAAGGGAGCGUAGAUGGAUGUUUAAGUCAGUUGUGAAAGUUUGCGG